CAGUAGCCGCGGUAAUGCGAAGGGUGCAAGCGUUACUCGGAAUUACUGGGCGUAAAGCGUGCGUAGGUGGUGGUUUAAGUCCGUUGUGAAAGCCCUGGGCUCAACCUGGGAAUUGCAGUGGAUACUGGGUCACUAGAGUGUGGUAGAGGAUAGUGGAAUUUCCGGUGUAGCAGUGAAAUGCGUAGAGAUCGGAAGGAACAUCUGUGGCGAAGGCGACUAUCUGGGCCAACACUGACACUGAGGCACGAAAGCGUGGGGAGCAAACAGGAUUAGAGACCCGCGUAGUCCCUGUCUCUUAUAC
This 301-nucleotide ribosomal RNA is filed under the name uncultured bacterium. Its description in RNAcentral is "partial 16S ribosomal RNA". It matches the Rfam family "Bacterial small subunit ribosomal RNA", at positions 509 to 807 of the family's 1533-position model. The record is from RNAcentral.